RNAcentral lists this ribosomal RNA (274 nucleotides) under uncultured bacterium. RNAcentral's name for it is "partial 16S ribosomal RNA". It matches the Rfam family "Bacterial small subunit ribosomal RNA", at positions 523 to 796 of the family's 1533-position model. The record is from RNAcentral.
AUACGGAGGGUGCAUGCGUUACUCGGAAUCACUGGGCGUAAAGCGCGCGCAGGCGGGCUGAUAAGUUGGAUGUGAAAGCCUACGGCUCAACCGUAGAACUGCAUCCAAAACUGUCAGGCUAGAGUGUGGGAGAGGAAGAUGGAAUUAGUUGUGUAGGGGUAAAAUCCGUAGAGAUAACUAGGAAUACCAAAAGCGAAGGCAAUCUUCUGGAACACUACUGACGCUGAGGCGCGAAGGCGUGGGGAGCAAACAGGAUUAGAUACCCCAGUAGUCC